This 427-nucleotide ribosomal RNA is filed under the name uncultured Massilia sp. Its description in RNAcentral is "bacterial SSU rRNA". It matches the Rfam family "Bacterial small subunit ribosomal RNA", at positions 353 to 772 of the family's 1533-position model. Lineage: Bacteria; Pseudomonadati; Pseudomonadota; Betaproteobacteria; Burkholderiales; Oxalobacteraceae. The record is from RNAcentral.
AGUGGGGAAUUUUGGACAAUGGGCGCAAGCCUGAUCCAGCAAUGCCGCGUGAGUGAAGAAGGCCUUCGGGUUGUAAAGCUCUUUUGUCAGGGAAGAAACGGUGGGGGCUAAUAUCCUCCACUAAUGACGGUACCUGAAGAAUAAGCACCGGCUAACUACGUGCCAGCAGCCGCGGUAAUACGUAGGGUGCAAGCGUUAAUCGGAAUUACUGGGCGUAAAGCGUGCGCAGGCGGUUUUGUAAGUUUGUCGUGAAAUCCCCGGGCUCAACCUGGGAAUUGCGAUGGAGACUGCAAGGCUAGAAUCUGGCAGAGGGGGGUAGAAUUCCACGUGUAGCAGUGAAAUGCGUAGAGAUGUGGAGGAACACCGAUGGCGAAGGCAGCCCCCUGGGUCAAGAUUGACGCUCAUGCACGAAAGCGUGGGGAGCAAA